Molecule: long non-coding RNA, 1568 nt
Organism: Numida meleagris (helmeted guineafowl)
Lineage: Eukaryota; Metazoa; Chordata; Aves; Galliformes; Numididae
Source: Ensembl
AUGGGUCAUCUUCUUCCCAAAAGGCGACUGAGAGCCGGAGGAAUUAAUGAAGUCCUCUGCAGCUGGCUCGAAAAUGCAGCUGCGUGGUUCCAUCCUGUGCCCCUAGGCUGCAGCCAGAGGCUGCCAGGCCCCUUCCCUGCUCGUCCCCUCCCCCUGCCCCCGCCCCCCGAGCAGAGGGGUCAACGUGUCACCUCCGUUCCUUUCCAACCCCACGAUGCAGUUACAACACGCUUCUGCCUCCUAUUUAACAGCAGGAAAGCCUCAGAGAAGCACUUCUUGCAACAUGCCCUGAGAUGCUGGAGGAGGAUGCUCCCCUUCACUUCAGUCUGGGAGUCAGGAGCAGGCUGGAUGCUCAGGUCCUUGCAAGGGGAUGUUAAGAAAGCUUUGCUGACUUCCCCUAUGCUGAGACCUUGCUCCUAUGGUUGGAAAGGAUUACAAUAUCAUGGAAUGGCUUGCGUUGGAUGGGACCUUAAAGCCCAUUCAGCCCCUGCCAUGGGCUGCUUGCCCCCCUGGAGAUCAGGCUGCCCAGGACCCCAUCCAUGGCCAUGGACACCUCCAGGAAUGGGGCACGCACUCUUCUCUGGGCAACACAGAUUAAACUUGGAGUGGCUGAACCAAUGAUAGAACGGCUGGACACUUAUCUCAUUCUUGGAUCUGGAGAUGGCUGGGUCACCACAUCCAGUUGGGUUGAGAGGGAAAGGAGCAGGCAAUUGGGGACAGCCAUGGUGUACGGAAGAGCUCUUGUGGUGAGGCUGGUGGACAGUUUCAUGGGCUCAGGUAGCUGCUCUAUUAAAAGAGGGGAAACCAGACAUCAGACGUGGUCAGCCUUCGAGGCAGACACCCAAACAAACCAGCGUGCUGCCGUGUUUCCAUGGCCCCAAAAUAUCAGCUGGGCUCUCCAGGCUGCCCAGUUCGGAAGUGCUGUCCGUCCCUGCAGCGUGGCUUUGAGGAGUGCUCUCAGUCUGCAGUUUGUGGUUUAUUUACUCUCUGGGUGCUACCGGUGAGCUGGGAAAAUAUCCCAGGGCUGGCUGAGCAGCGUAGUAGGAAAGAGAAGGAUGUGUGGGCUCUGUAUGUUUUUAUGGAUCCCUGGUUAUGGGAAUGGCUCAGCCUCAGGAGUUAAUGCAAGUGGUGAAGCCGAAGAUUUGCAUUAGUGAAGGGCAUCUAUCAAUCACUAAUUUCUAUCAGGACAGUGAAAACAGAAGGGAAGAAUCUGAACACAGCCUCUUUCUGUGCAUGUCAGAGAGGUGGUGAUGCAUUGGAGACUUGUCCUGUGCCUUCCAUGGACAUCAUAGAAUGGUUUGAGUUGGAAGGGACCUUCAAAGGCCAUCUAGUGCAACUCUCCUGCAGUGAAGAUGGACACUCACAGCUUGGUCAGGUGUCCAUACAUCCUCCCUUGUGGAUCCCAAAGCAUAUGAUGACCAUGAACUCAUCUAGCGAUACGCACUGGUCCCAUUUUCUGUGCCCCAGUAUUCUCAGAGUUAUGUCUCUUUUUCCUUCUGUCCAUCCUUCCCCUCAAAGGCGUGUUAAAAUGGGGCAUUAGUGUCGCUGCAGAAGAUGGGAAACCCCAA